Molecule: long non-coding RNA, 644 nt
Filed under: Manacus vitellinus (golden-collared manakin)
Lineage: Eukaryota; Metazoa; Chordata; Aves; Passeriformes; Pipridae
Description: lncRNA (ENSMVIG00005015014.1)
Source: RNAcentral
GCGCUACCACCAGGCAGGGCCCAAAGGCUGCAGCUGUGUUGCAUCAUCACUUUUGCCUGUGGUUGUGCCUUCUUGCACCUCUGAUGUCGGUCUGCUCUUCAGCAGUCUGCAGCAUUUAUUUACUUUUCCUCCGUGCUGCUCUCAGCUUGGUGGUGUGUGGCCUGUGGUUUGCUGUUUCUUGCUUCAGAACCGUCAACAUCAAGAGUUUUCUGAACUGCAGAUGCUGCCCCCCAGGAUGGCUCCCAGUAGGGACACCAAGGAUAACAACUUGAGGAAGUUCCAGGGAAGACUACUCAGCCAGAGCCAAAUCACCCCCUGGGAUGUGAGCGCUGAGCACGGGGAGAGAGGAGUAAGGAAGGAGAAGAGGAAGGGGCCUUUGCUUGGACAUUUCUGCCGGGAAUCGGGAGGGAGCACUGCUGACACACUGUGAAACAUGGUCUGGAAGCCUUCAAAGGAUUCAAAGAGGUUAAAGGCUGCUCCACGGAAAGGCCAGCAGCCUUUCCUGUGAGACGAGAGCAGCCCCAGCUCCUGCUCAUCCUUCUCAUCACAGAGGAGUUUCAGAAGUGGCUGUCAUUGCACAGAAGCAGAUAUCUGAUUGUGGGAGCUUUUAAUUAACAACAGCACAACCAAACCCACCAACGGGA